RNA transcript from Numida meleagris (helmeted guineafowl), 2594 nucleotides. RefSeq lists it as uncharacterized. The record is from RefSeq and is a predicted model, not a curated record. NCBI's taxonomy places the organism in Eukaryota, Metazoa, Chordata, Aves, Galliformes, Numididae. The transcript is spliced from 4 exons.
AUGCUCCCACACUGCCUUGUCAUAAUCAACCACCUCAGAAUAAGGACACAACCAUAAAUCAUUUAACAGCCUCCCAAUAACGCACCAGGUAUCCUCAGGCUUAGAGUUCAUCUCAGGAUGUUAAUCCCAUAAUAAACAACUUUCAGAUGGAUAAAUGAUUGUACGGUGAAAUAGCAAAUGGCAGUAAAAGAGAGAAAGUCAGCGCUUCUAAAUAGCUCCCCAAGGGCUUCCUUUCCAUUUUAGCCACUGGAUUCUGUAGAUUAAGAGAGCAACCUUUGAAAAGCCUCAUACAGGCAGUGCUACCAGUUUUGGUAAUAACGUACUUUACACAGAAAAGCUUUUGUCUGAAGAGUUCCGAUGAUUCCAUAGUACAGUAUUGCACCCACUCAGUAUUUCUCCCAGCCUCUGCUCACCAGCUGCCUGAACAGGCAGAUCUCGGCUGUCUCGGAGAGUUGCUGGGAUACUUACUGGUUUUUCGUUUUGUUUAGUAGAAAAACAGGUUAAAAAAAAACAAUCUCGCUGCUCAGGGGCAGCUGCGCUGCACAGAAGUCAGUCAUCUCACGGAUGAAUUUAAAUGGUGAAGUCUGGCUGUAAACUGGAGAAGCACACAUCCAGCCCUUCUCAAGGGCUCCACAAACCACCCUCUGCAGCUCGCGUCCCCAUUCGUCAAGGACUGGCCACGCAUCCUCGCCCUGACCGUGAGUUCCUCACUCACCCAGCUGAGCCAGUCCCCGCUCCCCUUCUCUUUCCACCCCCAAGCCUUCUUCCUGCCCUGGGAUGCACCCAUAGACCUGCCAGGGGCUCUGGGGGUCUCCCUCCAUUCCUAGAGUGACUUCUAGAGAUGGGAUGGAAACCUGGGGGACAGGGCAAGAAUGGUAUCCGGGUGCUUUCUGCGGGCAGCAAGGAUCCUACCUGAGAUAUUCCAGCUGCCUCUUGUCCUGAAGGAGGUGGAGACCAUUUUCCCCCAGCCCUUCCUGGCCCUCCUCUUGCAAGCGUCCUUCACCACGGAGCAGACGGAGCAGGAGGUGGAAAUCUUCUGGGUGGAGCACCAGCAGGGCCAGCUCACUCCCAGCAGGUCCGCGGUGCGGGCCUUGAAGCUGCUGCUCUGCAGCGGGGCGGCUGGGACGCGCUUCUCAGCGCCGUGACCCACCUCCAGGGUGUGCAGGUGGUGGCCAGGGUGAUGAGGGAACUGCCUGGAGCUCUGCGUGCCCCCAUCUUCCACCAGCUGGUUGAGCUGCUCAGCAACAGCUUUUACUCCUGGGAGAUGGUGGCCAUAGUCUUCCUCACUGAGGCAAGGACAAUGCUCAUCUUCCUGCAGUGCAUCACAGAGCAGCUGCAGGAUGCAGACAGCGACGCCCAUGCCAUUGUACUGCCAAUACUCAGCAACCUGCUGCAGCUCCUGGAGGGCGAUGAGCUCAGCCUCAUGGCUCUGGAGCUGGCCAGCAAGCUCCCAGCGCUCUUUAAUGAGAUAAGGAUGGGAGGGAGCCCAGCACACUAAGGAUUUGGCAACGACCCCAGUGUGCCCAUGCCUGCUGCCCUGUGACAGCACACCAGGGAACUUCCUGGCUGGUCGCCUGUUCCAGGCUCUGUGUGUCCCUGGGCAGACUUCCUGCAGGGCAGAGCUUGUGCACUUUGGAGCAGUUUUGGGGCCAUCCUCAAGAUCUGCCUGCAGCCUCUCAGCUCAGAGAUUCUGCUCCCAUGUGGUUGGCGGUGCUGGCCCUGCUCCGUUGGGCUUGGAGCUGCUGACACUGACAUCCUUCCCUCCUCCUCCACAGGAGUCCAGCACGGUGUGGCAGCUCUCCAUCCACCUCUUCCUCGAAACGCUGAGCUUUGUGGAGGGCACAGGAAAGAGGAAGAUGAGGAAGGAGGUGUACAGGAGCCUGGUCCUGCUGCAUUUGCACCUGCACAAUGAGGAAGAGAGCGUGGUCGAGGUGGGAAUUGCGUUCAUUUGGGGGAGGGCGAUGCUGGCCCCGUGGUGCCCCCCAAACACCAAGAGUAUUGCAGCCGGUGGCAGCGUCAGCCCCUGCUGCUGCAUCCUCCCUGCGGAGGGGCUCUGGGGGCUCUGGAGGGGCUCUGCAAGCACACAGCUGUCAUCGUGCCUCUGUUCCUCUGUUACCUCAGGCCUUCAGAGAGUGCAGCAUGACCCCAGUCCAUCCGUCUCUUUGCUGGCCCUUCAGACACUGAAGAUCCUGAAGGAAACGAGGCCACCUCCACCACCGAGAGACUCUGGGCAGCGCUCCUCCAGGCUCCGCAGCGCGUGGAGGAGGUGCUGCUCCUCCCAGGCAGACAGCUGAGCACCCUGGAAAGCUCCCGGCAUCUCCUCCUGCCCGCUGCUCAGCUCCGCUCCUCGGGCACAUCCCUUCCCCGUUGCUGUGCCGCUCCUCAGCCCGCGGUGCCAGCUACUUCAGCACCAUUGCCUGUCUUCUCUCGGUGGGAAACGGGAAAACAACCCAGGAGAUCAGCACUGCCCGGAGAGGGACGGGACGUGCAGCGCUCCCUGCCAGCACCACACGCUUUCGGUCACUGCCAGCAAAGCACCAGCUGCUCUGCCGGGCUGCAAAACGGGAUGAUUAAUAAAGCUGGUGAAUUUUACA